UACAGAGGGGGCAAGCGUUGUUCGGAAUUACUGGGCGUAAAGGGCGCGUAGGCGGCCUGUUAAGUCGAACGUGAAAUCCCCGGGCUCAACCCGGGAACUGCGUCCGAUACUGGCAGGCUUGAAUCCGGGAGAGGGAUGUGGAAUUCCAGGUGUAGCGGUGAAAUGCGUAGAGAUCCGGAGGAACACCAGUGGCGAAGGCGACACGCUGGGCCAUACCUGACGCUAAAGCGCGACAGCAUGGGGAGCAAACAGG
This 253-nucleotide ribosomal RNA is filed under the name uncultured bacterium. RNAcentral's name for it is "partial 16S ribosomal RNA". It matches the Rfam family "Bacterial small subunit ribosomal RNA", at positions 524 to 776 of the family's 1533-position model. The record is from RNAcentral.